GAAAUAAAAAAAAUAAAGCUUCUAACUUUAAAUCUAGAUAUUAAAAUAUCUUUAUUUCU
This 59-nucleotide transfer RNA is filed under the name Bombus kashmirensis. RNAcentral's name for it is "tRNA-Ser". The record is from RNAcentral. Lineage: Eukaryota; Metazoa; Arthropoda; Insecta; Hymenoptera; Apidae.